RNAcentral lists this ribosomal RNA (424 nucleotides) under uncultured bacterium. RNAcentral describes it as "bacterial SSU rRNA". It matches the Rfam family "Bacterial small subunit ribosomal RNA", at positions 917 to 1344 of the family's 1533-position model. The record is from RNAcentral.
GGGCCCGCACAAGCGGUGGAGCAUGUGGUUUAAUUCGAUGAUACGCGAGGAACCUUACCAGGGCUUAAAUGUAAGUUGCAUAAGUUAGAGAUAGCUUUUUCUUCGGACUACGUACAAGGUGCUGCAUGGUUGUCGUCAGCUCGUGCCGUGAGGUGUCAGGUUAAGUCCUAUAACGAGCGCAACCCCUGUCGUUAGUUACCAGCAAGUAAUGUUGGGUACUCUAGCGAGACUGCCGGUGCAAACCGCGAGGAAGGUGGGGAUGACGUCAAAUCAUCACGGCCCUUACGUCCUGGGCCACACACGUGUUACAAUGGCCGGUACAGAGAGCAGCCACUACGCGAGUAGGAGCGAAUCUUCAAAACCGGUCUCAGUUCGGAUCGCAGUCUGCAACUCGACUGCGUGAAGCUGGAAUCGCUAGUAAUCG